Molecule: non-coding RNA, 1382 nt
Organism: Paramuricea clavata
Lineage: Eukaryota; Metazoa; Cnidaria; Anthozoa; Malacalcyonacea; Plexauridae
Source: the annotation of a GenBank genome assembly
CUCGAUAUUUUUUUCCGCCUCCUGACACUGUUCGAUUUUUUUUUUGUCAGUCAGAGGACUUGCACGAUAUUUUUUUGUAUGCAUGUAUAUACAUUUUUUAUUUUUUAUUUUUUUUGGUAUAUAAUAGGUAAUUGGACAAGUAUUGGUGUAAGACAUUGUGUAGUCUAAAUAAUGAGAGGACCAGUAUUCAAAAAAUGGUUGUUCUUUAUUUCUUUACUCCGACUCCUAUGAUGAACAUGUACGUAAAAAACUAGGGAAACUACGAUUAUAUAUAGAAACUAAAGUAGGUGAAAUUUUUAUGGGAUUCCAUAAAAGGUGAGGAUAUAAGAGUGAGAGAUUGAAAUUGAGUAGGAAAGGCAACCCUACACGCGUUUCGACCUAACAGUCUUCUUCAGCAGGGGUUUUUAAAGGGGAGAGGGGGUAUAUAGAAUUUGCAGAGGUGAAGAAAGGAGAGUUUAGGAGUUCGGAAAAUAAUGUGAACUUGGAUCCUCUACGUAGCAAAAUCCACACCAGAACUAGCUAUAGCUAUCUAUUUGUCAUAUCGUAUCAUUCAUUUACUAAUCUCUGUUUUGGUUUUUGUUAUAUAUGUACAUGUUUUAGUUAUUGUAUAUUCAUAUAUUUUAAACAAAAAUCAAACCCUGCACGGGGUUAUAAUUAUUUUUAUCCCUUAUGUAUCACUAAUUGCCAAAUGCCCCUAUCCCUGUCUUAUAAGCUCCUACACCACUAACACCAUAUUUGGAUGCAAUCACCUACAGUCACAUGAUCACCCUUACCAUCACAAUCAUUCAAACUCACUAUACCAUUGAGUAAUUUAACCUGCAAAUUUGCUUCACUUCACCAAUACGAACGAUGAACAAUAAAGUGCGUAGUGUUGGAAUGUCCCGCAAACAACAAGACCUUUGGUAGGAUAACUUGACUAAUAACAUGUAUAAUAGUUACAUCCUUUCACUGUGUAAUUGGUUAUUUUCAGUUAUUUCGUAAUAAUUUGUUUUCCUCUUGGUCUCACAUUAUUUUCCGAACUCCUAUAAACUCUCCUUCCUUCUCCUCUUCAAAUUAUAUCAACCCCCCCCCUCCUCUUAAAAAAACCCUGCAGGCUGAAGAAAACUGUUAGAUCGAAACGCAUACCCCUGCACGCUAUUCCUACUCAAUUUCAAUCUCUCGCUCUUAUAUCCUCGCCUUUGAUCGUGUCCCAUAAAAAUUUCACCUAUUUUGGUUUCUACGGCCGUGAUUUAAACGUGAUUUUUAAAUUUAGAGUCUCUGAAAUGCCAUUUCCUGGACCCUGCAGCCCCCCGGUUGCUACAUACGGCCCUGGGCUACACGCGGAAAUGCACCGAAUGGCAAAUAAGGAUUACCACUCGAAAGUCUUGCACGAUAUUUUUUUU